UACGGAGGGGGCUAGCGUUGUUCGGAAUUACUGGGCGUAAAGCGCACGUAGGCGGUUUCGUAAGUCGGAUGUGAAAACUCCAGGCUCAACUUGGAGACGCCAUUCGAUACUGCGAUGACUUGAGUCCGGUAGGGGAGUGUGGAAUUCCUGGUGUAGCGGUGAAAUGCGCAGAUAUCAGGAGGAACACCGGCGGCGAAGGCGGCACUCUGGGCCGGUACUGACGCUGAGGAGCGAAAGCGUGGGUAGCAAACAGG
This 254-nucleotide ribosomal RNA is filed under the name uncultured bacterium. Its description in RNAcentral is "partial 16S ribosomal RNA". It matches the Rfam family "Bacterial small subunit ribosomal RNA", at positions 524 to 776 of the family's 1533-position model. The record is from RNAcentral.